GCUGCAGCCCUGCUUCCUCACUGGUGGCUGCUGGCAUGGAACCCUUGAAGCCCAAGAAUCUAGGGUACUGCAUGCAUCCUGUGUGAGGAAGAACAGAAAUCCAAACAGAUCUUGAUGUGCUAUUUUCAAAAAAGCAGCACUUUAGAAGCACCGAUCAUCUCAGUGCUGGCCAGGUCCAACACCUUGGUUUCCAAACUGCUUUCAUCCUGAUGUGGAGAAGGUCAGAACAAAAGAUAAACUGAAGGUUGAGUAUUGGGGGUAAGAAUAUAUUUCCUUUUGGUAUUCUUAAAAGGACACUGAAGAGCCUCCAGAACUUGGGGUCACUUGUGUACUUUCAAUUUUUGGAGCUCCUCAAUUGGAUGUUCUGAAGUGUAGGGGUGACCUGACACUGAAGGAUAAAAUUAAUCAUUGAUCCAAUCUUCAAAGUAGUGUUUCAAUAGCUAAGCAAACACAAAACUCUAACACAAGCUGAAGCUUAGAUACUGCAGGAUCAACACCAGGAACUGGCAGUCCCUGUGGCUAUGCUGUUUGUGAGAACUGUCAAAUGCAGAUUCCUAAGGUCAUUUAACUUUCCUGGGUUUCAAGACUUAUCUUGGUCAUACACCAACUGGGACUCCUUCAGUGGUGCCCAGACAGCAUAUUUACAUCCUGCACAGAUCCAUUCUUAUUGUCUGCUUCCAUAUCACAGCUAAAUUCUUAACCUCUUGAGUUAUGCAGGCAAUUUUCUGGUGCUCUUCCACUUUGCUUUUGGCAAUAUUGUCAUUCUGUUGCUUAUAUGUUUUUCAAUAAAGCACGUUAAGAAUGCUGUGUAUGUCCUCAGGGCAAAACCAGAGUGGUGUAUGUAAGAGUGUUAACAGUCUCUGAAUAAAAAGGAAAGGUAUGAAAGUAGAUUUAUAAAGAAUUAAUGUUUAAGUUACUGAAUAUUAACACAUUAACAUGCUUUAAUAUCUCUCUAUAUAUAUUUUUAAUUAAAUUAAACCCCCAAAUCUAUCACUGCGGCAUUUCUGGACUGCUUUGAAGCCUUUAAAUGCAGGUCCCCAUCAAAGCAAUUACAGUGGAAGGGCUAUGGUUUGGUAGUGGAACACAGGCUAAAGGAGAGCUGCCGAAAAAGGAAAGCACUGUGGGAGGAAGGCAGGAUGCUGCAGUCCUGAGAUGUGGUCAUAUGGUUGAUUUUGAGGUGUCUGAAGGGCAAAAGCAAUGUUCAUGAUACCUGACUCAAGGCAGCUAUGUUCUGUAGCCACCAGAUGACUUCCCAAGCCUGUAGUAUUAACUAAAAUAAAUUCUGAUAUGAAGCACAAACCCAUGAAUGUUUGGACUAAGAAUGGAUAUAGGAAUUGUGUGACUGAGAUGUAGUGAUCAACUAUGACUGGUGAUGAAUGCUGGUGAUGGGCUUAAAACAUGAUACUGUAAAUGUAAUUCUCUAUUAUGUCACCAGAGGGGCUCCUAAUCAAGACAGAACUAUGAACUACAUGGCUCAGCCAUCAGUACUGGCAACAGAUACACAGUCCUGCCAAGAGGAUAAACUACAAAUUGUUGAAUCAACUUUACAAUAUUAUUAAACUCAGCUAAGGAAUAGCUGAAAAGACUGACUGUACAGUAAGUAUACCUAGAGAAGGGGAGGAGCUACUUAUGCUAGAAUAUUGUGGCAUAAAAUGAAUACAAAUCAUAAACUUGUGAUUGAAUUUAGAAUAAUUUAUCACCAGAGAAGUGAAUGGGAAGAUACUUCUGUGAGGAAGGAUUGUACUUGGAAAACAUUUCUUUACUGAGAGGAUACUUAAACACUGGAACAGGUAAAUGCCCCAAGCCUGUCAGUGUUUAAGAGGCAUUUGGACAGUGCUUUAAUUUGGCCAGCCCUGAAGUGAUCAGGCAGCUGGACUAGAUAAUCAUUGUAGAUCCCUUCCAACUAUUAUAUUUUCUAUUCCCCACAUAUCUGGGCUAGUGCUGGACUUAAGUCUGAGCCAAAAGACCUCUUCUCUGCCUUUUGUUCCUACUUCAGCUUUAUACUUCAUAUUGGUCUACAAUUUGGUAGAUUCCUGUGGCAAACCCUUUCAGGUAUGUUUUCCUUACAGAACCUAAGUACCAGUCUUUAUUUAACAUAAUCAAGAUUUUUGAUUAUGAGGCUAAAUCAGUUAAAUUACUGAUACAGUCAACCCCUUUACCUGUGUAAAGCAUAGCUAAAUUCAGGUCCACUGCUUCUUCCAGUGUUGUAGAGUGACAUUAAGGACUGAGGCCUAAACCUAUACUUAAUUGGUGGUAUGAUACAUUGAAAGGCUGUCAUAGAAUCACAGAAUGGUUUUGGUUGGAAGAGACCUUAAACAUCAUCCAGUUCCAACCCUUGUCAUGGACAAGGACACCUUCUAUUAGACCAGGUUGCUCAAAGUCCCAUCCAACCUGGCUUUGAACACUGCCAGGGAUGGGGCAGCCACAACUUCUCUGGGCAACCUGUGCCAGUGCCUCACCACCCUAACAGGAAAGAGCUUCCUAGUAUCUAAUCUGAAUCUACCCUCUUUCAGAUUAAAUCCAUCCUUCCUUUUCAUUCUAUGCCCCUGAUUUCUUGUAGUUCCCUUUUAGGUUCUGCAAGCUGCUCUAAGGUCUCCAUGAGCCUUCUCUUCUCUGGGCUGAACAAUCCCCAGCCUUCUCAGCCUCUUCAUAGCAGAGCAUAGCUUAUCUUCCAGCUUUUGGAGCAUCUUUGUGGCCUCCUCUUGACUUGCUCCAGCAGCUCUACAUCCUUCUUGUGUUGCUGGCCAUACAGCUGAACACAGUAUUGCAGGUGGGGUUUUUGUCCUGUUCCUCCCACUUUACACCUGUGUAACAAACCUGGGUUUUCACUUACUAUUGGGAAGCAAAUCUCACCUUUAAUUUUACAUUUAUCAGUUGCACCUCACUUUUACUUUGUCUAGUACCCAAACACCUGAAGGAGGCCAGGUUCUACCUUUGCACUGACAUAUCUGUAGUCUUAAGCACAUAAUUUUGCUUUACUAUAGCAACACGAUUGCAAAAUACAUUACAAAUGAGUGAGAUGGGCAAAAAUGCCCUUGAGCUGCUAUUCUAAGAUUUUAAAGUCAUAUGCAAGUGAGUACUUCUUAAUCAGUAGUUAUGACUGGAAAAGGUUGAGGGAAUUAUGACACCAUCCACUAAAAUAAAAAUCCAACUAAACUUGAUAUAGUAACUCCAAAGAUUAAAUUUUAUUUACUCAUCUGUACAAUAGAGGUAAUCCCAGUAACUGAGUUGCACUUAAUUUUCUUAAUUUUUAUAAAGGAUCUACAGUUCUAGUGAAGAAUUGUUUACAAACUCUUCAAGUCAAACCCAGGUUUUCCACUAAACAAUGCAAUUAGAAGAAAUCAUAAAAAGUUACUUCAAAUUACUCUUCGCCCUGGAUCUUGACCUCAGUAAAAACCAAACCAGACCUGCUAUGCCCACAUCAGGUGCCUAGCUGGUGCUAUUAAGGCUACUCAUUAGCCAUGGUUUGCUGGAGUCAACUGUGCCUUGGACUCAACAGUUUUACUACUUGGAAAAAUACAGCCACUUUAACAUUGCAUCUCAGAAUAAAGUAUUGCUCAACAAAAAAGUUAACCUGUGUCAGAGCUGUAGUCUUAUGUUCCCUGAUGAGUUGUAUCCCAUUUCCCUGACAGGGGUACACGCAGUUCCUGUUGUGACCUUCCUCAGCUGUGCCUACCUCCCCACUGGGCCAUGCAUGAUGGAUAGUGCCAGCAGUAACCAGGAUGGUCAAGUCCCACAC
Long non-coding RNA from Pezoporus occidentalis (night parrot), 3739 nucleotides. RefSeq lists it as uncharacterized. The transcript is spliced from 3 exons. The record is from RefSeq and is a predicted model, not a curated record. Lineage: Eukaryota; Metazoa; Chordata; Aves; Psittaciformes; Psittacidae.